UGUUUCGGCUAGGGGGUCAUCCCGACUUACCAACCCGAUGCAAACUACGAAUACCGAAGAAUGUUAUCACGGGAGACACACGGCGGGUGCUAACGUCCGUCGUGAAGAGGGAAACAACCCAGACCGCCAGCUAAGGUCCCAAAGUCAUGGUUAAGUGGGAAACGAUGUGGGAAGGCACAGACAGCCAGGAUGUUGGCUUAGAAGCAGCCAUCAUUUAAAGAAAGCGUAAUAGCUCACUGGUCGAGUCGGCCUGCGCGGAAGAUGUAACGGGGCUAAACCAUGCACC
This 286-nucleotide ribosomal RNA is filed under the name Klebsiella pneumoniae. RNAcentral's name for it is "partial 23S ribosomal RNA". It matches the Rfam family "Bacterial large subunit ribosomal RNA", at positions 911 to 1195 of the family's 2925-position model. RNAcentral also lists the same sequence under 3 other names. Lineage: Bacteria; Pseudomonadati; Pseudomonadota; Gammaproteobacteria; Enterobacterales; Enterobacteriaceae. The record is from RNAcentral.